This 550-nucleotide ribosomal RNA is filed under the name Lysmata ankeri. RNAcentral's name for it is "partial 16S ribosomal RNA". It matches the Rfam family "Bacterial large subunit ribosomal RNA", at positions 1816 to 2621 of the family's 2925-position model. The record is from RNAcentral. Lineage: Eukaryota; Metazoa; Arthropoda; Malacostraca; Decapoda; Hippolytidae.
CUCUGUUUGAAAAUCAUAAAUAGUAUAGCCUGCCCACUGGUAAGCUGAAGGGCCGCGGUACCCUGACCGUGCAAAGGUAGCAUAGUAAUUAGUUCUUUAAUUGAGGACUGGGAUGAACGGUUGGACGAGAAGUUGGCUGUCUCUAAUAUAAAUUUUGAAAUUUACUUUUAAGUGAAAAGGCUUAAAUAAAAUAAAGGGACGAUAAGACCCUGUAAAACUUUACUUUCUGGUUUAAAAGUGUAAGAGUAAAAGUGUAAUAUUUGCUUUUAGGGCAGAUGUUUUAUUGGGGCGAUAGAAAUAUAAAAUUGUUAACUGUUUUCUUUUAUUAUAGCAAUAAUAAUAAUAAUAAUAAUUAGAUUAAAUGAUCCUUUAGUAUGGACUACGAGAUUAAGUUACUUUAGGGAUAACAGCGUAAUUUCUCUUGAGAGUCCUAAUCGACAGAGUUAGUUGCGACCUCGAUGUUGAAUUAAGAUAUCACUUAGGCGGAGGAGCUUAAGUAGUAGGUCUGUUCGACCUUUAAAAUCUUACAUGAUUUGAGUUCAAACCGGCG